GACGAACGCUGGCUGCGUGCUUAACACAUGCAAGUCGAACGCUGAAGCCGGGUGCUUGCACCCGGUGGAUGAGUGGCGAACGGGUGAGUAACACGUGAGUAACCUGCCCCUGAUUUCGGGGUAAGCCCGGGAAACUGGGUCUAAUACCGGAUAUGACCAACCCUUGCAUGAGGGUUGGUGGAAAGUUUUUUCGAUCAGGGAUGGGCUCGCGGCCUAUCAGCUUGUUGGUGGGGUAAUGGCCUACCAAGGCGACGACGGGUAGCCGGCCUGAGAGGGCGACCGGCCACACUGGGACUGAGACACGGCCCAGACUCCUACGGGAGGCAGCAGUGGGGAAUAUUGCACAAUGGGGGAAACCCUGAUGCAGCGACGCAGCGUGCGGGAUGACGGCCUUCGGGUUGUAAACCGCUUUCAGCAGGGAAGAAGCGCAAGUGACGGUACCUGCAGAAGAAGUACCGGCUAACUACGUGCCAGCAGCCGCAGUAA
RNAcentral lists this ribosomal RNA (486 nucleotides) under uncultured bacterium. Its description in RNAcentral is "partial 16S ribosomal RNA". It matches the Rfam family "Bacterial small subunit ribosomal RNA", at positions 28 to 523 of the family's 1533-position model. The record is from RNAcentral.